GGAAAAGACACUUUCCUACUUCAGACGGUGGUUACCUGUCGGUGUUUAAACAAUUGCUCAUUUUGUACUGGGUAGUGGAUGAAAGACCAGUUUGUUAUUGUACGCUUUCCUAGUGCCAUGCUCUACAAAAUCAUGCGUGAAUUUCUCCUAAUUAUCUUCAGAAACUAGGAAGGAGUCUUGGUCACAAAAGUCUCCGUGGUAGAAGAGUAUAC
RNAcentral lists this long non-coding RNA (212 nucleotides) under Mustela putorius furo (domestic ferret). RNAcentral's name for it is "lncRNA (ENSMPUG00000027800.1)". Lineage: Eukaryota; Metazoa; Chordata; Mammalia; Carnivora; Mustelidae. The record is from RNAcentral.